This 130-nucleotide non-coding RNA is filed under the name Bacteroides fluxus. Lineage: Bacteria; Pseudomonadati; Bacteroidota; Bacteroidia; Bacteroidales; Bacteroidaceae. The record is from RNAcentral.
CAUAGUGAUGUGGAAUCUGAAGGAAACUUGCGGCAAAAGUCUGACUAGGCGAACUGAAAUCAGAUAUAAGGCUAAAGUGUGAGGAUGUACCUCGUAGUAGUGAAGAAAUCUCUGUAAUAUAAAGUUGUAA